Molecule: unclassified non-coding RNA, 168 nt
Organism: Apteryx haastii (Great spotted kiwi)
Lineage: Eukaryota; Metazoa; Chordata; Aves; Apterygiformes; Apterygidae
Source: Ensembl
CCAGCAAUUCUGGAGAGCAAAUACUCUAUCUAGGUACAGCACAAGUGAGUGAGAGCCAACUUCCUGUACACUCUCCUGCCAAGAAAUCUUCAUGCUGAUCUGAAGAAAGAAACCCCUAGGCAUGACAGGACAGUUUGGUCUCCACAGUCCAUCUAGUCCUCAGUUUUU